UACGAAGGGUGCAAGCGUUACUCGGAAUUACUGGGCGCAGAGCGUGCGUAGGUGGUGGUUUAAGUCUGUUGUGAAAGCCCUGGGCUCAACCUGGGAAUUGCAGUGGAUACUGGGUCACUAGAGUGUGGUAGAGGGUAGCGGAAUUCCCGGUGUAGCAGUGAAAUGCGUAGAGAUCGGGAGGAACAUCCGUGGCGAAGGCGGCUACCUGGACCAACACUGACACUGAGGCACGAAAGCGUGGGGAGCAAACAGG
Molecule: ribosomal RNA, 253 nt
Filed under: uncultured bacterium
Lineage: Bacteria
Description: partial 16S ribosomal RNA
Rfam family: Bacterial small subunit ribosomal RNA
Source: RNAcentral